AGCCCAUGGUUAGGGCGCCUUCUCAACAAAUCCUUGUAUCUCUCCCAUGCAUCGUAGAGUGUUUCUAAAUCCAUCUGCACAAAAGAAGAGAUAUUAUUCCUUAAUUU
RNAcentral lists this small nucleolar RNA (107 nucleotides) under Gossypium barbadense (sea-island cotton). Its description in RNAcentral is "Plant small nucleolar RNA R71". It matches the Rfam family "Plant small nucleolar RNA R71". Rfam says of the family: R71 is a member of the C/D box family of snoRNAs containing the C (UGAUGA) and D (CUGA) box motifs. The record is from Rfam by way of RNAcentral. Lineage: Eukaryota; Viridiplantae; Streptophyta; Magnoliopsida; Malvales; Malvaceae. RNAcentral also lists the same sequence under 1 other name.